AACCAGAAGAAUCUGCUGUAUAGUGCCUGGGGUCUAUUCACAGGGCUGUAGCUAUUAGAUUGCCUUUUUAUUUUUUCAUGUUUUCCCUUUGUAUAUUACAUUGGAAAUUGAGACUGAGCUUCAAUCCACAGUAGUAGCCUGUGGCAGUGGGUGGGCUCCUUUGGGAAAGCAGUCUGCACAGGAGUCCUGAACAGAGCCCUUAAGAAUAUGGAUGAAAAGAGAAGAGCUCAGAUAUGAAGGGAAGUAUCUAGAAGAGGCUUUAGUAUGGUUUAGAGUGCAACAUGCAACUUUACCCUCAAGGAGGGUGGCUGAAAAAGAGUGGAAAAACAGCCAUCAUGGAAAUAAAGUUAAUGGAUGGAUCCUUUCCACUGGGGCUUUUAUAAACAGUUGGUUUAGGGACUGUUAGAGCACUCACUAAAUAUCAUUGUGAAAGGGAAAAAGUACAGUGUCUAUUCUGUAUAAUUUAUGUGCUUGUAAACUGCUGUUACUGCUCUGUCAAAAAAUUAAGCACACUGUUUUUCUCAAUAGUAAUUUACUUACUUUUUAUUAUGUAUUUAACCAGCUGAGGUCUAACCUACAUGCAAUUAUCCAAACUACAAGAGUGGUUUGUAUAAAUAUUUAGGGUGCUUGGUGUCAUUUUCUGACGUGUGAUUGAAGCUCUUAGCUUGUCCCACCCCUAAAGUGACCAAAUUAAUCUAACAGUGCUUUUCUAUUGGCCUUCUCCAACAUAGAUAUUCCUUCUUAAUUCAGAAGUUAUGUUAAUUUUAAAGUGUAACUGAGUUUAUGAUCAUAAAAAUGCAUGUGUAUAUGUGCACAUGCACCUUUUUAAUGAACAUGUAUAAUUAAUACCAGAGGAUUAAUAAGAAUCCAUUGGACUUUUAGAAAUCAUCUACAAAAAUACACCUGCCAAUGAUUGUCUAAUUAACACGAAAGCUUCUGCCUAGUGUAUGAAAUAAUUGCUUUAUCAUCUACAUUGUUUAUUCAUGCAACAUUUAGUUAGGGUGGAGUGAAUAUUUGGUUUUUAAAAUUAAGUUUCUUAGGUUAUGUCUUUUUUUUGUGGAAAAGAAAUCAAGCCCACAAAUGCUUACCCAAUAUGUGAACCAACUACAGUGCUUUUUCAUGGGGUAUUUUUUUCUGCAUAUAACAUUUUCACCAUUUGAAUUCUGAUCAUGUUGCAUAUUUGUAUAUAGGUUGUCAGUCUAAAUUCAUAUUUUUAAAAUAGCAAUAAAAAAA
Gavialis gangeticus (Gharial) is the source of this 1233-nucleotide long non-coding RNA. RefSeq lists it as uncharacterized. The transcript has 3 exons. Lineage: Eukaryota; Metazoa; Chordata; Crocodylia; Gavialidae. The record is from RefSeq and is a predicted model, not a curated record.